AACGAGCUACUGCGGAUUGAACCUGAGAAGACGCGGAGCACGGCUGAGGGCGAAGCCUUCAUCCAGGCCCUCCCAGGCAGUGGCACCACACCCCUGCUGAGGACCCGGGUGGAGGACACCAACCGGAAAUACGAGCACCUCCUGCAGCUGCUGGACUUGGCCCAGGAGAAGGUUGAUGUGGCCAACCGCCUGGAGAAGAGCCUGCAGCAGAGCUGGGAGUUGCUGGCCACACACGAGAACCAUCUGAAUCAGGAUGACACAGUGCCUGAGAGCAGCCGUGUCCUGGACAGCAAGGGGCAGGAGCUGGCGGCCAUGGCCUGUGAGUUACAGGCCCAGAAGUCCCUCCUGGGUGAGGUGGAGCAGAACUUGCAGGCGGCCAAGCAGUGCUCGAGCACACUGGCCAGCCGCUUCCAGGAGCACUGUCCGGACCUGGAGCGCCAGGAGGCCGAGGUGCACAAGCUGGGCCAGCGUUUCAACAACCUGCGCCAGCAGGUGGAACGCAGGGCGCAGAGCCUACAGAGCGCCAAGGCAGCCUACGAGCACUUCCACCGCGGCCAUGACCACGUGCUGCAGUUCCUAGUCAGCAUCCCCAGUUACGAGCCCCAGGAGACAGACAGCCUCAGCCAGAUGGAGACCAAGCUGAAGAACCAGAAG
This 654-nucleotide long non-coding RNA is filed under the name Homo sapiens (human). RNAcentral describes it as "long non-coding RNA NONHSAT173565.1". Lineage: Eukaryota; Metazoa; Chordata; Mammalia; Primates; Hominidae. The record is from RNAcentral.